Non-coding RNA from Stegodyphus mimosarum, 71 nucleotides. The record is from Rfam. NCBI's taxonomy places the organism in Eukaryota, Metazoa, Arthropoda, Arachnida, Araneae, Eresidae.
GCCUUCGUGGCAUAACGGUAGCACACUCGGCGCGUAUUCGAGAGGUCCAGGUUCGAAUCUCGGCGAGGGCA